This 623-nucleotide ribosomal RNA is filed under the name uncultured bacterium. Its description in RNAcentral is "bacterial SSU rRNA". It matches the Rfam family "Bacterial small subunit ribosomal RNA", at positions 59 to 656 of the family's 1533-position model. The record is from RNAcentral.
AAGUCGAGCGAGAAAGCCACCUUCGGGUGGUGAGUAAAGCGGCGCACGGGUGAGUAACGCGUGGAUAAUCUACCUGUAGGCCUGGGAUAACUCCGGGAAACUGGAGCUAAUACCGGAUAAGACCACGGGGUCUUUGGAUCUUGCGGAAAAAGGUGGCCUCUUCUUGAAAGCUACCGCCUAUCGAUGAGUCCGCGUCCCAUUAGCUUGUUGGUGAGGUAAAGGCUCACCAAGGCUUCGAUGGGUAGCUGGUCUGAGAGGAUGAUCAGCCACACUGGAACUGAGACACGGUCCAGACUCCUGCGGGAGGCAGCAGUCGGGAAUUUUGGGCAAUGGGGGAAACCCUGACCCAGCAACGCCGCGUGAGGGAUGAAGGCCUUCGGGUCGUAAACCUCUGUCGGAAGGGAAGAAAGGUCUCCGUUCAAAUAGAGCGGGGGCUUGACGGUACCUUCAAAGGAAGCACCGGCUAACUCCGUGCCAGCAGCCGCGGUAAUACGGAGGGUGCAAGCGUUGUUCGGAAUUACUGGGCGUAAAGCGCGUGUAGGCGGCUAGGCAAGUCGAGUGUGAAAUCCCAGGGCUCAACCCUGGAACUGCACCCGAAACUGCUUGGCUAGAGUCCCGGAGAG